AAAUGAAUAGACGGGGACCCGCACAAGCGGUGGAGCAUGUGGUUUAAUUCGACGAUAAACGAAGAACCUCACCAAGGUUUGACAUCUAGCUGCAUGUCCUGGAAACAGGAAGGCCUUCGAGGGUGCUAGACAGAUGCUGCAUGGUUGCCGUCAGUUCGUGUCGUAAGAUGUACCGUUAAGUCGGAAAACGAACGCAACCCUUAUUUCAUGUUUUAUAUGUCAUGAAAGACUGCCCGUUUUAAAUGGGAGGAAGGUGGGGAUGACGUCAAAUCAGCAUGGUUCUUACACCUUGGGCUACACACGUGCUACAAUGGGAAAUACAAAGGGACGCCAAAUCGUAAGAUGGAGCAAAUCCCUAAAAAUUUUCCUCAGUUCGGAUUGAGGUCUGCAACUGACCUCAUGAAGUUGGAAUCGCUAGUAAUCGUAGGUCAGCUAUACUACGGUGAAUACGUUCUCGGGUCUUGUACACACCGCCCGU
This 478-nucleotide ribosomal RNA is filed under the name uncultured bacterium. RNAcentral describes it as "bacterial SSU rRNA". It matches the Rfam family "Bacterial small subunit ribosomal RNA", at positions 903 to 1397 of the family's 1533-position model. The record is from RNAcentral.